GAGACACCCUUCUGGGGCAAGACUUGCUUCAGUGGGGCUUUCGUGCUCACUGAGUCUGCCCCCUGAGUGUGUCCCU
RNAcentral lists this microRNA precursor (76 nucleotides) under Myotis lucifugus (little brown bat). RNAcentral describes it as "mir-9229 microRNA precursor family". It matches the Rfam family "mir-9229 microRNA precursor family". Lineage: Eukaryota; Metazoa; Chordata; Mammalia; Chiroptera; Vespertilionidae. The record is from Rfam by way of RNAcentral.